UAUUUUGUAUUUUAUGUGGAACACAAGAAGCAGUUGGGUCGUACACCAACCCACGAGGAGGUCUUCAAAGAAACCCACACACUUAAAAGUGACAAGUCUAAAUGGGUGGACAAGCCUCUCAAGACACUCAUGAGAAGUUUAUAAAAAAGUUGGCAGAAGUUCAGGCUCAACAUGCCGAGGCUCAAGCACAGGGAAUGGAGCUACAACCAAUUGAUGAAGACUUGAUUUGGGAGGAAGUGUGUGGUGGGCAAAAGAAGAAUCGAGUUUACG
This is a non-coding RNA of Arachis ipaensis, 270 nucleotides long. Lineage: Eukaryota; Viridiplantae; Streptophyta; Magnoliopsida; Fabales; Fabaceae. The record is from RefSeq and is a predicted model, not a curated record.